Molecule: ribosomal RNA, 434 nt
Filed under: uncultured bacterium
Lineage: Bacteria
Description: partial 16S ribosomal RNA
Rfam family: Bacterial small subunit ribosomal RNA (bases 20-302)
Source: RNAcentral
AACGAACGCUGGCGGCAUGCCUAACACAUGCAAGUCGAACGAGACCUUCGGGUCUAGUGGCGCACGGGUGCGUAACGCGUGGGAACCUGCCCUUAGGUUCGGAAUAACUCCCCGAAAGGGGUGCUAAUACCGGAUAAUGUCUUCGGACCAAAGAUUUAUCGCCUUUGGAUGGGCCCGCGUUGGAUUAGCUAGUUGGUAGGGUAAAAGCCUACCAAGGCGACGAUCCAUAGCUGGUCUGAGAGGAUGAUCAGCCACACUGGGACUGAGACACGGCCCAGACGCCAACGGGAGGGAGGAGGGGGGAAAAUGGGAAAAAGGGGAAAAAGCAGGACAAAAAAGGGCCGGGGGAGGAAGAAGGGCGUAAGGGUAGAAAGCUUUUUUACCCGGGGAAAAAAAGAAAAGACGGGGGAAAAAAGAAGCGGAAAAACCCAGAC